Molecule: ribosomal RNA, 424 nt
Filed under: uncultured bacterium
Lineage: Bacteria
Description: bacterial SSU rRNA
Rfam family: Bacterial small subunit ribosomal RNA
Source: RNAcentral
AGGGAAUCUUCCGCAAUGGGCGAAAGCCUGACGGAGCAACGCCGCGUGAGUGAUGAAGGUUUUCGGAUCGUAAAGCUCUGUUGCCAGGGAAGAACGUCGGGUAGAGUAACUGCUAUCCGAGUGACGGUACCUGAGAAGAAAGCCCCGGCUAACUACGUGCCAGCAGCCGCGGUAAUACGUAGGGGGCAAGCGUUGUCCGGAAUUAUUGGGCGUAAAGCGCGCGCAGGCGGUCACUUAAGUCUGGUGUGUAAGGCUAGGGCUCAACUCUAGUUCGCACUGGAAACUGGGUGACUUGAGUGCAGAAGAGGAAAGUGGAAUUCCACGUGUAGCGGUGAAAUGCGUAGAGAUGUGGAGGAACACCAGUGGCGAAGGCGACUUUCUGGGCUGUAACUGACGCUGAGGCGCGAAAGCGUGGGGAGCAAAC